CACACACACACAGCACCAAAACCUGCAACAAUUAAAUAAAAAGUUAUGCACAGCUUUUUCCCAUCCACACACUGUGACUAAACCUCACUUUCGUCUCAUAUUCACAGUACAGCGCUCCUCUACGCCGUCAGUUAACCCUGCAAUUAACCUGCACCUCAGCCAAACAUCAUUAAAGAAGUGAGCGAAGGAGAGAGAGGGAGAUUGAGGAAGACGGGAGACAGAUAAAUGGAGCAAAUUGGGUAGGCCCCAGUCGAGAGGUUUGGGCGUUGGAGCAUCAGAGAGGUUUUGCAUACAGCUGUAUUCAAGUCUGGGGCUGGAGGAGCAUUAUGGAAAUGAGAUGCAUCCAGAGAAACAGCAGAAUGGAGUCCAGGAGAUGUUUCUCUGCUCCAUUCUUCAUCACUGUAACCAGGGGCAGACGAUG
Cottoperca gobio is the source of this 421-nucleotide long non-coding RNA. RefSeq lists it as uncharacterized. The transcript has 3 exons. Lineage: Eukaryota; Metazoa; Chordata; Actinopteri; Perciformes; Bovichtidae. The record is from RefSeq and is a predicted model, not a curated record.